UUAUCAUACCACUGCAACAAACGAUUCAUUCAUUCAGACAGCAAUGUUUCAGGUAAUCGGAUGUUGUUGAUAUUCAGGUGACAUACAGCAGAGAAGUUUCCUAAGAGCACUUUCUGUUCUUGUCAGCAAGAAACAUGCAGCAAGAGGAGAGGCAAAGUACACCCUUUCUCCUGCAUAUGAAAUAGGGUUACAAGUUUAAUCAUGGAAUCAGCAUAAAGUCAUAGGGCAUUAGAUCUUUUCAUCUCCAUACUGCAUGUAAGGCCCUAUUUACUCCAUCUUCUACAGCUAUCCCUGACAGUGUAUUUUUAAUGGUUUAUUAUUGGUCCAUGCAUUCAUGCUAGGGUUAAAACAAGGUUUCCAUUACAAGCCAAGUUUUGAAUAAAGGUUUGUACCCACCACGAUUCUGAGAGUCCAGCAAAAGCAGGGUUUUAUUUUCCAGCUUCCAGGGAAGUUUACUGGAAAGAAUGGCCUACAAUUGCAGACAGGCCUCACUCCACCAGUCCUGUGAGUCUGAACGUGACUUGGCACAGUUUCUGUCAUCACAAGACCUCUGCAAAAGACCUCUUAGUCAGAACAGUCAUUUUUUUCUCUGGAUCCUCUGUUCUCCAACACUUCCUUUGAAUGGCCUUCCUUCGACGGGAGGACUUGUCAGGACUAACCUCAAAGCCUGACAGCUUGUCCAGCUCCACUGUAAGGCAGAUACUUUUCUGCCUACACAAAGAGACUCAGUAAUCCUUUAAUGUCCUUUCUAGAGGCCAGGUAUUGCCACCAUAGAAUGAAUGCAAUUGUCCUCUCUGCUAACUAAAACUGGCAACUCUUUCAUUACCAAAGAAUAUGCCAGAAGCUCUCCCACUUAUUCUUGGAAGGCAUAAACCUUUCAAGAUUGAAGUUUAAAUGCUAUUUCCUCAUCAGCAUUGUAUUCAGUCCAGAACCAAGGGUGGGAAUGAGAUAUGUAUUUACAGUUAUUAAAUGACUAAUACAGAAAAGUUCUCUUUGAACACUAUUGUAAAACCCCACAGAGAAGGGCAACAAAAGAGAAACCAAUCAUAGAAUGUACCUUGUCAUAGUGGUUUUUGCCUGUACUACAAAAGAGAAUUAACUAGACAUUCUUAUAUCAGGAUCAGUUUUGGCAUAGUAUGAAUUUUCUUUGAAACCAGCAGUUUGCUGUAUUGGUUGGACAUCCUGUUUUCAGUCAUUGUAGAAAUCUUACAGGUGCUGCUGUUAUAUGGUCAUAACAGCACCAUUUAUUGCUAGAUAUGGUCAUAAUAGCACUGCCUAUUGCUAGAUAUACAGGGUUGCAGUUUUCCCUUUGAUUAAAAUAGAAAAUUGCCAAAUCCAAACUGAGUGGAAGUUAAGUUUCUAUUUUCCUGAACAAUCAGUUCUGGUGGCCCCUAGGCAGUAAGCCUGUGCAAGUAGGCAGCUAUUCGAUCUGGCUUCAGAUCUGGCCGCU
Gavialis gangeticus (Gharial) is the source of this 1450-nucleotide RNA transcript. It is a transcript of the gene named P2Y purinoceptor 8-like, with no coding region annotated. Lineage: Eukaryota; Metazoa; Chordata; Crocodylia; Gavialidae. The transcript is spliced from 2 exons. The record is from RefSeq and is a predicted model, not a curated record.